AUACGGGGGGUGCAAGCGUUAAUCGGAAUUACUGGGCGUAAAGCGCGCGUAGGCGGCUUGGUCAGUCGGAUGUGAAAGCCCUGGGCUCAACCUGGGAAUUGCAUUCGAUACUGCCAAGCUAGAGUAUGGGAGAGGGAAGUGGAAUUUCCGGUGUAGCGGUGAAAUGCGUAGAUAUCGGAAAGAACACCAGUGGCGAAGGCGACUUCCUGGCCCAAUACUGACGCUGAGGUGCGAAAGCGUGGGGAGCGAACAGGAUUAGAAACCCUAGUAGUCC
Molecule: ribosomal RNA, 274 nt
Filed under: uncultured bacterium
Lineage: Bacteria
Description: partial 16S ribosomal RNA
Rfam family: Bacterial small subunit ribosomal RNA
Source: RNAcentral